RNAcentral lists this ribosomal RNA (469 nucleotides) under uncultured bacterium. RNAcentral describes it as "partial 16S ribosomal RNA". It matches the Rfam family "Bacterial small subunit ribosomal RNA", at positions 28 to 507 of the family's 1533-position model. The record is from RNAcentral.
GACGAACGCUGGCGGCGUGCUUAACACAUGCAAGUCGAACGGAAAGGCCCUGCUUGCAGGGUGCUCGAGUGGCGAACGGGUGAGUAACACGUGGGUGAUCUGCCCCUUACUUUGGGAUAAGCCUGGGAAACUGGGUCUAAUACUGGAUAGGACCAUGCUGUAGGUGGUGUGGUGGAAAGAUUAGUUUCGGUAAGGGAUGAGCUCGCGGCCUAUCAGCUUGUUGGUGGGGUAAUGGCCUACCAAGGCGUCGACGGGUAGCCGGCCUGAGAGGGUGGACGGCCACAUUGGGACUGAGAUACGGCCCAGACUCCUACGGGAGGCAGCAGCGGGGAAUAUUGCACAAUGGGCGCAAGCCUGAUGCAGCGACGCCGCGUGGGGGAUGACGGCCUUCGGGUUGUAAACUCCUUUCAGCCAUGACGAAGCCCUUGUGGUGACGGUAGUGGUAGAAGAAGCACCGGCUAACUACGUG